GCGGACGUGGCGGAAUGGUAGACGCCGGGGACUUAAAAUCCCCUGAGCUAUGCUCGUGCGGGUUCGAGUCCCGCCGUCCGCA
Molecule: transfer RNA, 82 nt
Filed under: Novosphingobium sp. B1
Lineage: Bacteria; Pseudomonadati; Pseudomonadota; Alphaproteobacteria; Sphingomonadales; Sphingomonadaceae
Description: tRNA_Leu_TAA
Rfam family: tRNA
About the family: Transfer RNA (tRNA) molecules are approximately 80 nucleotides in length. Their secondary structure includes four short double-helical elements and three loops (D, anti-codon, and T loops). Further hydrogen bonds mediate the characteristic L-shaped molecular structure. tRNAs have two regions of fundamental functional importance: the anti-codon, which is responsible for specific mRNA codon recognition, and the 3' end, to which the tRNAs corresponding amino acid is attached (by aminoacyl-tRNA synthetases). tRNAs cope with the degeneracy of the genetic code in two manners: having more than one tRNA (with a specific anti-codon) for a particular amino acid; and 'wobble' base-pairing, i.e. permitting non-standard base-pairing at the 3rd anti-codon position.
Source: RNAcentral